GUAGGUGGCAAGCGUUGUCCGGAAUUAUUGGGCGUAAAGCGCGCGCAGGUGGUUCUUUAAGUCUGAUGUGAAAGCCCCCGGCUCAACCGGGGAGGGUCAUUGGAAACUGGGGAACUUGAGUGCAGGAGAGGAAAGUGGAAUUCCACGUGUAGCGGUGAAAUGCGUAGAUAUGUGGAGGAACACCAGUGGCGAAGGCGACUUUCUGGCCUGUAACUGACACUGAGGCGCGAAAGCGUGGGGAGCAAACAGGGAUUAGAUACCCUGGUAGUCCACGCCGUAAACGAUGAGUGCUAAGUGUUGGGGGGUUUCCCGCCCCUCAGUGCUGCAGCUAACGCAUUAAGCACUCCGCCUGGGGAUACGGUCGCAAGACUG
This 372-nucleotide ribosomal RNA is filed under the name uncultured organism. RNAcentral describes it as "partial 16S ribosomal RNA". It matches the Rfam family "Bacterial small subunit ribosomal RNA", at positions 527 to 896 of the family's 1533-position model. The record is from RNAcentral.